Long non-coding RNA from Choloepus didactylus (southern two-toed sloth), 829 nucleotides. RefSeq lists it as uncharacterized. NCBI's taxonomy places the organism in Eukaryota, Metazoa, Chordata, Mammalia, Pilosa, Megalonychidae. The transcript has 3 exons. The record is from RefSeq and is a predicted model, not a curated record.
UACAUCCAAGCCGGCACACCGUCCCAGCCGUCUGUCUCUUUCCCCUGACGCUUUCACGGGGCCUCUUUCAGGCCAAAGAAACCGAGUGGAUUUCCAGCCAUGCCUAGAACGAGCCUCGGCUAGAAAAUCAGCUGCUGCAUAGCCUCGUCACAGAUUUAGCAAGGCUAAACAUGGGAAGUUGGAAGCAUAAACGUGGGAGAGCAGGCCGGGUCUCCAGCUCCUCUCCUGUGACUUUGUGGGGCAGUGCCCUGGGGAUGCGAGCCAGGCUGGGCCAGCUGAACUCACAGCCUCAGACGACCCCAGAGCUCCGAAUGGCCAGCUGUGUCCGGGCAGCCUUCCCUGGCCCCGCAGGGAGCAAAGUAUGAGUCCCUCUCCAAAUUCAAAAUCCAGGAGCAUUUUCUGAUGUGAAAGGUUCUAGUCUUACUGAAGCAACUGCCUCCUCCUUUUCGUACUGUUACCCUUUGCUCUUUAUGUAAGGGGAAAAAAUGGCUAGAUUCUCUAACUCUUUAUCCCUAUUACUCUAUAUUAAUGAUAGACCUAUUUAUUUCAAUGGGCUGUGUCAGUGGUCAAAAGUUAAAUGCUUAAAACCUGAUGAAUUACUAAUAGUUGGUAAAUAAUAUUUAAUGUAUAAUUGUACAUUUCAGAAGUAUAAAAUUAACAUUGGCAGGCAGGUGCCGUUAUAAUUUCUAUCCUUCAGUCAGGUAAACUGAGGCAGCAGGAAACCGAGUCAUGUCCACGUGGGCAUAACUGCUAAGGGAGGCAGGAUUUGAACUCAAGGAGUUUGACUCCUGAGCCCAGCCUCACCAGAAUGACCCUUUUGAAAAAUUAU